This 1633-nucleotide ribosomal RNA is filed under the name Escherichia coli BIDMC 17B. RNAcentral describes it as "bacterial LSU rRNA". It matches the Rfam family "Bacterial large subunit ribosomal RNA", at positions 1314 to 2925 of the family's 2925-position model. The record is from RNAcentral. Lineage: Bacteria; Pseudomonadati; Pseudomonadota; Gammaproteobacteria; Enterobacterales; Enterobacteriaceae.
AAAGCGGGUGAAAAGCCCGCUCGCCGGAAGACCAAGGGUUCCUGUCCAACGUUAAUCGGGGCAGGGUGAGUCGACCCCUAAGGCGAGGCCGAAAGGCGUAGUCGAUGGGAAACAGGUUAAUAUUCCUGUACUUGGUGUUACUGCGAAGGGGGGACGGAGAAGGCUAUGUUGGCCGGGCGACGGUUGUCCCGGUUUAAGCGUGUAGGCUGGUUUUCCAGGCAAAUCCGGAAAAUCAAGGCUGAGGCGUGAUGACGAGGCACUACGGUGCUGAAGCAACAAAUGCCCUGCUUCCAGGAAAAGCCUCUAAGCAUCAGGUAACAUCAAAUCGUACCCCAAACCGACACAGGUGGUCAGGUAGAGAAUACCAAGGCGCUUGAGAGAACUCGGGUGAAGGAACUAGGCAAAAUGGUGCCGUAACUUCGGGAGAAGGCACGCUGAUAUGUAGGUGAAGUCCCUUGCGGAUGGAGCUGAAAUCAGUCGAAGAUACCAGCUGGCUGCAACUGUUUAUUAAAAACACAGCACUGUGCAAACACGAAAGUGGACGUAUACGGUGUGACGCCUGCCCGGUGCCGGAAGGUUAAUUGAUGGGGUUAGCGGUAACGCGAAGCUCUUGAUCGAAGCCCCGGUAAACGGCGGCCGUAACUAUAACGGUCCUAAGGUAGCGAAAUUCCUUGUCGGGUAAGUUCCGACCUGCACGAAUGGCGUAAUGAUGGCCAGGCUGUCUCCACCCGAGACUCAGUGAAAUUGAACUCGCUGUGAAGAUGCAGUGUACCCGCGGCAAGACGGAAAGACCCCGUGAACCUUUACUAUAGCUUGACACUGAACAUUGAGCCUUGAUGUGUAGGAUAGGUGGGAGGCUUUGAAGUGUGGACGCCAGUCUGCAUGGAGCCGGCCUUGAAAUACCACCCUUUAAUGUUUGAUGUUCUAACGUUGGCCCCUGAUCGGGGUUGCGGACAGUGUCUGGUGGGUAGUUUGACUGGGGCGGUCUCCUCCUAAAGAGUAACGGAGGAGCACGAAGGUUGGCUAAUCCUGGUCGGACAUCAGGAGGUUAGUGCAAUGGCAUAAGCCAGCUUGACUGCGAGCGUGACGGCGCGAGCAGGUGCGAAAGCAGGUCAUAGUGAUCCGGUGGUUCUGAAUGGAAGGGCCAUCGCUCAACGGAUAAAAGGUACUCCGGGGAUAACAGGCUGAUACCGCCCAAGAGUUCAUAUCGACGGCGGUGUUUGGCACCUCGAUGUCGGCUCAUCACAUCCUGGGGCUGAAGUAGGUCCCAAGGGUAUGGCUGUUCGCCAUUUAAAGUGGUACGCGAGCUGGGUUUAGAACGUCGUGAGACAGUUCGGUCCCUAUCUGCCGUGGGCGCUGGAGAACUGAGGGGGGCUGCUCCUAGUACGAGAGGACCGGAGUGGACGCAUCACUGGUGUUCGGGUUGUCAUGCCAAUGGCACUGCCCGGUAGCUAAAUGCGGAAGAGAUAAGUGCUGAAAGCAUCUAAGCACGAAACUUGCCCCGAGAUGAGUUCUCCCUGACUCCUUGAGAGUCCUGAAGGAACGUUGAAGACGACGACGUUGAUAGGCCGGGUGUGUAAGCGCAGCGAUGCGUUGAGCUAACCGGUACUAAUGAACCGUGAGGCUUAACCUU